Long non-coding RNA from Solanum pennellii, 2779 nucleotides. RefSeq lists it as uncharacterized. Lineage: Eukaryota; Viridiplantae; Streptophyta; Magnoliopsida; Solanales; Solanaceae. The transcript has 2 exons. The record is from RefSeq and is a predicted model, not a curated record.
AUCACGACAAAGAAACUAUCCCAGACUGCGUCUCCACAAGAUGACAACACCAGCGAAAUGAAAACACUGGAAAGAGACGAUUUUGCCCCCAUGUUCCUAUCCGUUUUCUGAUUCCCCCUCCAAAAAAAAGUCGUAAUCCUAAUCUUCCUCAUGUAUACUUCCUAUCCUUCACUCUAAGAAGGGAUUUUUUUUUUGAAUUAGAGAAAAAACAAGAUACAGAUACAUAUAUUAAAGAAAAUACAAAAGACAUUUCGUGGAACUUGCUUGUGUUUUCAUCGCUCACUUCUUGUCUCGGUCGCUGCCCUCAAAAGGUAAUGCCCUCUUCGUUAUUGUAUUUAUCUUCGCCUUUUUUUCUGAUUAUAAAUUGAUAUUGUUCGAAAUCGAAGACCUUGUGAUGUGUUUGGUUUGCCGAUUAAGUACUAGGUUUUUUUUCUGUUGGAGUAUGAUGUAUUUAAUUGGCUUCAGUGAUUGGAUUUUAAGGUCGAGUUAAUCCCAUUGGGAUUCUAUAUAUUUUAUCACUUCUGUUCCCAUAUUCAUGUGUUAAAUUUUGUGGGUUAUUUUUUUCCGUGUAUACUCGUUUUGAUACUGUCGAAUCGGCAUUUCCUCAUUUUAGUUGUUUUUCUUAGUGUUUAAAACUCUUUCAUUUCGCUUCUGCAAAUGUCGAUCUAGAUGUCUGGAGGAUGACUAAUAGAGAGAUUGAAUGUCAUUGUAUCUAGGUUGCAACAAUUCGCUCUUUUUUUAGUUAGUUUGUUUUUUGUCUGUCACGCUCCCAUCUGUAUUCAUAAAGUGUGAGUUGUGUUCUAUGUUUUUUUAUAAUGGUCUUUGUUGAGUGAGUCAUAUGUCAUGGGAUUAGAGUCUUAAGGUUUAUGUGUUAAUGCAUUUCUUGUUUAUCAUUAUAAACAUUAGGAAUUGUGUUAAGAUUAGCUCACAAAAAAUGUUUUGUUUCCUCCACUUGUCCUGUCUCUUCAUGAGAUUUUUUUUUAAAAAAAAAACUAAAACCCUUCUCUCAUUUAUGUCAACAAUUCUGCAAAGUAUCAACUUUAUUUCGUUAACUGGGUAUGCUGAUUUACUCAGAUGUAAAGUACUCGAUUUAUUUUAUUAAUGCAUGAGUUUAUAACAGUUAUUAAAUUCAUAUUGCAAUUCUUUUGGCUCCGGCAGUAUCAACUUCAAUGGUUUGCUCCGCUUUGAUUAAUAGUUGCUUCUUUAUCAUCAUUUUUGUCUAAGUAAUUAGAAUUAAACCCACUCCAUUUAAUCACUGAUAGUUUUAUUAUUUAGUUGGUAAUACUAUUUGUGUUUCAUCUUAUUAUGGGCGAAGCAUGCUGUACUGAUUUGAUCUAUAAACAUGUUAGAAUUUUUGUUUUCUCAUAUUUCCAUAUAAUUUCAAUUUUUAGUUGUCUGCACCUUAUUUUCUUUCACACCCUUGCAUGUUUUCCAUGAAAUUUGUGAGUAAGUUAACUCUAAAAGAAGAUUUGGAAUGUUGAUUUUCUGUUCAUAUGAACACUCAUAGACUUGUAUAUAUAUUGUGUAAGAUAAAUGGGUCAAGUUUCAUAAAUGGUUUAAGUUGAAAUCUCUCUAUGAUGGAAUGGUGUUCUAUUCGUUCCUGCGUCCCUUAAGCAUAUAACAUUUCCCUCCUUCCUCGUCAAAUGACUUAUGUUGACUGUUGCUCAUUUCAGAAAGAUUACAAUCCUAAGGCUAGAGUUUUUUUUAGUUUACUCUCGUUAAUCUAUAAAUAUAUGUCUCAUUUUGUGGAAAUUAUUCUAAACCUUGUGGCUUGUUUGUUAUCUAUGUUUUCUUCUUUUGCUUACUAUUAUUAUUUUAUUAUUAUUUAUUAUUAUUAUUAUUAUUAUUAUUAUUAUUAUAUUUUAUAAAAAAAAUAAUAAGAUAAAAAUAAGAUAAUUUAAUGAGGAAGAAGAUACAACAAUCUUCCCUUUAGUUCUGACGCUUAAGUUUGGCAAGAUUUGACUUAUUUUACUAUUUUUUCUACCACUUCGCUUUUUCUCUAAAUGAUUAAUCUUAUUCCGUACAUGGUUUUAAUGUUAUAUCCUUAGCAACCUUUGCUCAGUUUUUUGUGUUGCAUCUUAAGUAUAAUGAUAUAGAUGUUUCAUUCGUCAUUUUAUUCAUAUUACUAAAUACUUGUCCUACUAUUGAAGUUUGUUGCUAGUUAUUUCAUUUAUGGGAAAAACAUAUGUGAGUUAUGGAGAAGUAGUAGAGGAAAUAUUAAUCCAUGCGUUUUGUUUAUUUUUUUCUCCUCAUGAUAAAUCAAUUGUUGGUGUACCCGAGAUUUCAAUACAUUGAUUUGGGUGUGAUUCUCUUUUAUGUUUGGGUUAUUUGUAUGAUCAAGUAAAUAUCAUAAUCCAUUAAGUAUGUUUCUUUCUUUAGUUGCUGCAGUUCACAUUUUGCUAAUGUAAUUUUUUAUUUUUUAUUUUUUUGUGAACUCUUCUCGAGUUCAUUUAGACUCCAUUACCCGCCUUGCACUCUCCUAUCGAGCCACGAAGCAUCAAAAUCCUUCACUGAGUCAGCCAACAAAACUUGAUGAACAGGUCUCGAAAAUUGAAGAAUACACACAAAUUAAGAAGUCGGAGAUUUGAAGAAGUUGGGACAAAAAGGGCCCUGUUAUUUCAAAUUAUUGUAUAUUUGUUAUUAUUGGGUUUAAGCCCUUUACCAUUAUUGUAUUGUUAGGACUUAGGACAUGUACCAAAGUGAAAUGGGUCAAAAACUUAAAAGCAAACAGGGUUCAAAUAUCGGUCCAGGCGGACAGAAUCCAGAUUUGGACCCAACA